RNAcentral lists this ribosomal RNA (250 nucleotides) under uncultured bacterium. Its description in RNAcentral is "partial 16S ribosomal RNA". It matches the Rfam family "Bacterial small subunit ribosomal RNA", at positions 524 to 774 of the family's 1533-position model. The record is from RNAcentral.
GACAGAGGAUGCAAGCGUUAUCCAGAAUGAUUGGGCGUAAAGCGUCUGUAGGUGGCUUUUUAAGUCCGCCGUCAAAUCCCAGAGCUCAACCCUGGACAGGCGGUGAAAACUACCAAGCUGGAGUACGAUAGGGGCAGAGGGAAUUUCCGGUGGAGCGGUGAAAUGCGUAGAGAUCGGAAAGAACACCAAUGGCAAAAGCACUCUACUGGGCCGACACUGACACUGAGAGACGAAAGCUAGGGAGCGAAUG